UCCUUUGCCACCUGAGGUCCUCGAUCCUUUGAGGUUGACAAGUGGCGCCAUAACUACCCAUCGAGGAGUGAUCGGCAAGCAUUUUGAACCCUACAGAAUGUGGUGGCUCCAGUAGACCAAUUUGGAUACCUCUCCAAAAUAUCUGGCUCAGGAUAAGCCAUCAAACCGGAGGAGAAUCCUCACCCAUGUCAGGGGCUGAAGACUCAACCCCCAAUUCUGGAAAUGGCAGCCUUGACCCUGAAGAGACCCCAAAAAAGGAAGAUGGCCUCAAGCACUCCUCCAACUUGAGAACAAUUGAAGAAUCUCGCAGUGUGCUGAACGAGUUUUGGAGGAGUGUGGCUCCCUGUAAAUCUAACCAGGAAUUGGGAAGAAAACCCUGUGGAAGGCCUAUUAUCAAAAGUGUUAAAUGGAUUGGUUUCCCGAGGUCGACGUUUCAUCGAGUUCUUGGUGCUGGUGAUCCUGGGGCUUAUUGGAAUUGCCAUAACUGCUGCAGUUGCAGGAGUAGCACUGCAAACUUCUUUACAAACCCAUGAUUUUGUAAAAACCUGGCAGGAAAAAUCACAUAA
Hyaena hyaena (striped hyena) is the source of this 566-nucleotide long non-coding RNA. RefSeq lists it as uncharacterized. NCBI's taxonomy places the organism in Eukaryota, Metazoa, Chordata, Mammalia, Carnivora, Hyaenidae. The record is from RefSeq and is a predicted model, not a curated record. The transcript has 3 exons.